UGCUUUGCUGCGUCCGAGUUUUCCUGAAUCUUAGCAAACUGUGCGGCUCGAUUGCGUCCUGCCACGAGUCUGAACGAGCGUUUGAACGAUAGUUGUCGAAAAUCCUCGCCGGUGGAAUAGGUACAUGUCCAAGAAAACAAAAUACACCCACAAAAGCAAUGGGGGGAAUAAAAAGAAAAGUGCAAGGGUUUCCAGGAAAAAUUUUCGGCGGAAACAAAAAUCAAAGUCACGGAAAUUUAUAGUUUUAAGUAACACACGCAGCAAAUAUGGAUAACAAAUAAGAGAAACAGCAACAAAAAUGAAAAUUACUAUACAAGUAAAUUAAAAACAGAGGAAAUGAAACACGCGUGAAAAGGGAAACAGAGAAAGUGAAAAUGACAAGAAAACAAUAUGAGGAAAAAUUUCCGGCGGAAACAAAAAUCAAAGUCACGGAAAUUUAUAGUUUUAAGAAACACACGCAGCAAAUAUGGAUAACAAAUAAGAGAAAACAACAACAAAAAUGAAAAUUACUAUACAAGUAAAUUAAAAACAGAGGAAAUGAAACACGCGUGAAAAGGGAAACAUAGAAAGUGAAAAUGACAAGAAACAAUAUGAGAAACAAUGAAAGUGAGCAUGUAAAUAUUCCGGAAGUACCGGGUUGGUCGAAAAUGAGUGGGGAAAAAACUGUCCAAAAGAAGCCCGCCGAAAAAAUGCCUGGAACAGUGUCACGCGUGCGGCGCGUGGUCGUCGUCGGCGGCGCGUGAGCGGUCGUCGGCGGCGCGUGCGUCGGUUUCCGGCGAUGAAACUCGCAAGGGUUGUGCGCCUGACGGUGUAUGUCUCGGUGGUGUAGGAGGGUGUCGAAGAAAAAGCACUUCCACCGGGUUGGUCGAAAAUGAGUGGGGAAAAAACUGUCCAAAAGAAGCCCGCCGAAAAACUGCCCGGAAUAGUGUCACGCGCGCGGCGCGUGGUCGUCGUCGGCGGCGCGUGAGCAGUCGUCGGCGGCGCGUGCGUCGGUUUCCGGCGACGAAACUCGCAAGGGUUGUGCGCCUGACGGUGUAUGUCUCGGUGGUGUAGGAGGUGUCGAAGAAAGACCACCGUGAGAGACCACUGUUGACGAUUCCGAGGAGAGAGAGAGGGGUACUUACCUGUGGCUACCGGCGGUUCGUCGGGGAUGCCAGUGGGGUUUUUCUGCCGUCAGAGGGGGUGGUCUCCGGGGUAGAGAGGUCGCCGGGGGGGUGGCGAGGGGAGCGGUGAGCUGGGGGG
Molecule: long non-coding RNA, 1242 nt
Filed under: Nicotiana benthamiana
Lineage: Eukaryota; Viridiplantae; Streptophyta; Magnoliopsida; Solanales; Solanaceae
Description: long non-coding RNA (NBEN_LNC013773)
Source: RNAcentral